RNAcentral lists this microRNA (21 nucleotides) under Prunus persica (peach). RNAcentral's name for it is "ppe-miR6287". The record is from miRBase by way of RNAcentral. Lineage: Eukaryota; Viridiplantae; Streptophyta; Magnoliopsida; Rosales; Rosaceae.
CAAGAAGUGGAAGUUUUGGGC